This is a long non-coding RNA of Penaeus chinensis, 1034 nucleotides long. RefSeq lists it as uncharacterized. NCBI's taxonomy places the organism in Eukaryota, Metazoa, Arthropoda, Malacostraca, Decapoda, Penaeidae. The record is from RefSeq and is a predicted model, not a curated record. The transcript has 2 exons.
CAUUAUUGUUAUCUUAUCAUCAUAAUUACCAUUAUUAUAAUUUUUGAUAUCAUGAUCAUUAUUAUAAUUAGUUAUUAUUAGCAUAACUAUUCCUGUUUGUAUUAUUAACCUUAUCAUCAUUGCCGUUACAAAUAUUUGCUGUCUUCCUCUUGUUAUUGCUACAUCUUUAUUGUGUUACAAUCACCAACUUUUCAUUAACAUCUGUGUCCAUUUUUAAAUGUAAGUCACAACAUGCUCCUCCCCCCUUUCCCCGAACAACAUAUAAAAGCGAUUUUUGAACACGUUCGAUCUCAAGCAGCCGCCGCGACGCCCUCAAGCCGCCCCCUAGUUAAAAGUACCCUCGUGACGUCAUCUUCCCGGGGAGAAUACCCCCUGGCCCGACCGCGAGUCAUCCAACACUGAGAUGAGUCACCCCCUCCCCCCUUCAGCCCACUCGCUCUAGAUGACCGCAACACUAUAUAUGGACUUCGACGGCGAGUCAACAAAAGCAAGCAGGUUCCAGAGCGUCGAUCUGCAAGUCAUCUACAACAAGAGAGCAACACAACGCAAGCAUCGUAGAUCACGUCCACAAGCGCAGCGGACGAUACCCUGCGGUCUCUGCCUGGAAGAUGCACGUGACUCAAUCUCUGCGUGAUGUCAUAACCGCAAGUCUGACGUCAGGGUCACUUUUAUGACGUCACAUGUAUGAAGUGUGACGUCACGGGAAGCUUUUAAUGCUGAUGUUCGUUUAACUUGUAUAAGCCAGCUGUUUUAUUAUACCACAACACUGUAUAUCAUGAAAUCCUACGGUUAGAUUUCCCAUGCAAUUAUAUUUUCUUUGGCCAAUGACUCAGCUUUUACUACGAUGUUUAGCUUGUAAAUAUACGUAGUAAUUAUUACUCUGUGUCAGUUUAAAAACAAAUAUUCCUUUCCUGAUGGCUUCUCCUUGAAAUUUUAGAAGACGCGUGCUUAAUAAUAAUAGAUUUAACAUAUGUGUGACUGAAAUUGAAUUAUAUAUGAAUAUGAGCCUGAAAUACAUGAAGAAGCCAUUGUUA